CCUAACACAUGCAASUCGAGCGGUAACAUUUCUAGCUUGCUAGAAGAUGACGAGCGGCGGACGGGUGAGUAAUGCUUGGGAACAUGCCUUUAGGUGGGGGACAACCAUUGGAAACGAUGGCUAAUACCGCAUAAUGUCUACGGACCAAAGGGGGCUUCGGCUCUCGCCUUUAGAUUGGCCCAAGUGGGAUUAGCUAGUUGGUGAGGUAAUGGCUCACCAAGGCGACGAUCCCUAGCUGGUUUGAGAGGAUGAUCAGCCACACUGGAACUGAGACACGGUCCAGACUCCUACGGGAGGCAGCAGUGGGGAAUAUUGCACAAUGGGCGCAAGCCUGAUGCAGCCAUGCCGCGUGUGUGAAGAAGGCCUUCGGGUUGUAAAGCACUUUCAGUUGUGAGGAAAGGUUAGUAGUUAAUACCUGCUAGCUGUGACGUUAGCAACAGAAGAAGCACCGGCUAACUCCGUGCCAGCAGCCGCGGUAAUACGGAGGGUGCGAGCGUUAAUCGGAAUUACUGGGCGUAAAGCGUACGCAGGCGGUUUGUUAAGCGAGAUGUGAAAGCCCCGGGCUCAACCUGGGAACUGCAUUUCGAACUGGCAAACUAGAGUGUGAUAGAGGGUGGUA
Molecule: ribosomal RNA, 619 nt
Filed under: Pseudoalteromonas sp. KE1-11
Lineage: Bacteria; Pseudomonadati; Pseudomonadota; Gammaproteobacteria; Alteromonadales; Pseudoalteromonadaceae
Description: bacterial SSU rRNA
Rfam family: Bacterial small subunit ribosomal RNA
Source: RNAcentral